UCGCGGGAUGGAGCAGUCUGGUAGCUCGUCGGGCCCAUAACCCGAAGGUCGCAGGUUCAAAUCCUGCUCCCGCAAU
This 76-nucleotide transfer RNA is filed under the name Leuconostoc gasicomitatum. RNAcentral's name for it is "tRNA-Met". It matches the Rfam family "tRNA". From Rfam's summary of the family: Transfer RNA (tRNA) molecules are approximately 80 nucleotides in length. The record is from RNAcentral. Lineage: Bacteria; Bacillati; Bacillota; Bacilli; Lactobacillales; Lactobacillaceae. RNAcentral also lists the same sequence under 1 other name.